Long non-coding RNA from Gallus gallus (chicken), 1327 nucleotides. NCBI's taxonomy places the organism in Eukaryota, Metazoa, Chordata, Aves, Galliformes, Phasianidae. The record is from Ensembl.
AUCUUCUACUCUGUAUACCCCAGCGAUGCUGCUCCUUCUUUUUAGUGGGUCUCCAAGGCAGCAAAGGGUGGGAGAAAGCAGCUGUAAAAUGGGCAUCAUACAGCAGAGACAGGCCAAAAAAAUACAAAAUCCUCUCGCUCGCCAAGAUCUACCUGCUAGAAUUGGAAGGCUCAGCACAAAACCCACCUGGAAGAAAUCAAAUGAGAGGCAGGUUUGCAACGGGGAUGCAAUUGCCGUGAAUAUAAUCACAGAAGCACCUAAUCUUGGAGGUUGGAUGGGAUCUCUGGAGAUCAUCUGGUCCACUUGCUAAUCAUUAAUCAUGUUCAGAUAUUUGCAGUCCUACGGAGGCUCAGUGCAGCCACCUCUCAUAGCUGGGGAUGUCUUAAGCUGGGGUCUGCAAGAGGCAAUUGAUAUCCACUGAUCUUUGUAUUGCCUCACCAAAAGUUUUUUUGUACGAGUGUUUUAGCUAUUUUCCAGCUAACACAGUGCCAAGAGGUCUGGGGACCUUCCUCCUCCAUCCUGGCCAUGUAUUUCUCUCUGCUCCUGAUGCUGCUUUUAGUGAGGGAUGGAUGAACCUCACUGGGAUGGAUGAACCGCAUAAAGAUGGAUGGAUCACCCUCAGCUCUAAUGGUUUGUUGCAUUAAAUGGUUCUUUGUGAGGUUAAGCAACAUUUAGCCCUCCAGCCACUUCCCUGCAGCUCUUCAGCACAUCUGCUCCUGCAGGGACAUGUCAGCAAGAGGAUGGGCUGAGGGCUGCCUACAUCUGAAAUGUAAGGUGUGAAAUGCCCAGGGACCCUCCAGUCACUCCCAAAGAGAGCUCACCCAGGAGCCAGAGGGAAACCAGUUGACUUUCUCACCCUUUAUUGUGCACAUUUCUCUAACCAGAAAGUAUCACUGAGCUACUGAUUGCAUUCCAAGAAGCUGAAGACAUCACAGAGCCUUCCAGGAGCCAAUGCAGGAGCACACCAUGGUCCCACCAUCACUCCAGCAAGCCUCAGCAAUCAGGCUGCCUGUCCACUCCCCGAGAGAACACAUUAAUUUUCUUGCAGCCCACAGUGCUGCCGGGAUGGUUCAGGUUGGAAAAGGGCCACCAUGGUCAGGAGAGGGCCAACAGUUGUCAGGCAGAAGACCGGUACCUUUGCCAACACCUGCCUUUUGCAAGCAACACUUUUUCCAACAGAACCCUGUAAAAUGUUUUUUAUGAAGAACCGAUAGGAAAUGUUGUGGGGGAGAAGAAAAAAAAAAAAGAAAGCCUAAACUUUUCUGGAAGUCUUCUUAGUCAUUGCCUUUUUCCAUUUGUAAAACUUUCCAGAUUAAAGCCUCACACC